RNAcentral lists this ribosomal RNA (512 nucleotides) under uncultured bacterium. RNAcentral describes it as "partial 16S ribosomal RNA". It matches the Rfam family "Bacterial small subunit ribosomal RNA", at positions 28 to 507 of the family's 1533-position model. The record is from RNAcentral.
GAUGAACGCUGGCGGCGUGCCUAAUACAUGCAAGUCGAACGAAACUUCUUUAUCACCGAGUGCUUGCACUCACCGAUAAAGAGUUGAGUGGCGAACGGGUGAGUAACACGUGGGCAACCUGCCCAAAAGAGGGGGAUAACACUUGGAAACAGGUGCUAAUACCGCAUAACCAUAGUUACCGCAUGGUAACUAUGUAAAAGGUGGCUAUACUACCGCUUUUGGAUGGGCCCGCGGCGCAUUAGCUAGUUGGUAGGGUAAAGGCUUACCAAGGCAAUGAUGCGUAGCCGAAUUGAGAGGUUGAUCGGCCACAUUGGGACUGAGACACGGCCCAAACUCCUACGGGAAGCAGCAGUAGGGAAUCUUCCACAAUGGGCGAAAGCCUGAUGGAGCAACGCCGCGUGGGUGAAGAAGGUCUUCGGAUCGUAAAACCCUGUUGUUAGAGAAGAAAGUGCGUGAGAGUAACUGUUCACGUUUCGACGGUAUCUAACCAGAAAGCCACGGCUAACUACGUG